UUUUAUAUAGGUUAAAUUAAACCUUUAUAUUUUCAAUAUAAUAAUAAUAUAAUAAUAUAAUAUUUAUAAAAU
RNAcentral lists this transfer RNA (72 nucleotides) under Gasteruption sp. M19. RNAcentral's name for it is "tRNA-Glu". The record is from RNAcentral. Lineage: Eukaryota; Metazoa; Arthropoda; Insecta; Hymenoptera; Gasteruptiidae.